GGCUGGGUAGCUCAGCUGGUUAGAGCAUUGUUCUGAUACACUAAGUUUGCGGGUUCAAUUCCCGGUCAGGGCA
Non-coding RNA from Myotis lucifugus (little brown bat), 73 nucleotides. NCBI's taxonomy places the organism in Eukaryota, Metazoa, Chordata, Mammalia, Chiroptera, Vespertilionidae. The record is from Rfam.